UACGAAGGGUGCAAGCGUUACUCGGAAUUACUGGGCGUAAAGCGUGCGUAGGUGGUUCGUUAAGUCUGCCGUGAAAGCCCCGGGCUCAACCUGGGAAUGGCGGUGGAUACUAGCGGACUAGAGUGCGGUAGAGGGUGGUGGAAUUCCCGGUGUAGCAGUGAAAUGCGUAGAGAUCGGGAGGAACAUCUGUGGCGAAGGCGGCCACCUGGACCAGCACUGACACUGAGGCACGAAAGCGUGGGGAGCAAACAGG
Molecule: ribosomal RNA, 253 nt
Filed under: uncultured bacterium
Lineage: Bacteria
Description: partial 16S ribosomal RNA
Rfam family: Bacterial small subunit ribosomal RNA
Source: RNAcentral